GGUGAGUUUGUCAUGAAACAUAAUGUAGAUUUCUUUAUACACUACACCAUGUGUAUUCCUCUUGAAGUUGUGCCCUUUACCUCAAAGGCAAACUUCCCCAAAAGAGGAGGACCAUUCUUUGGUUAAGGAUGUAUGAGUAGCUGUACUAUCCAGCUGGAACCUUCAUUAUAUUAUUUUGCCUUGCACUCCCUGGGAAGUAGCCUCUCAUACUGAGAUUAGCAUGUAGGAUAUUU
This 233-nucleotide small RNA is filed under the name Urocitellus parryii (Arctic ground squirrel). RNAcentral describes it as "7SK RNA (ENSUPAG00010004928.1)". It matches the Rfam family "7SK RNA", at positions 1 to 269 of the family's 331-position model. From Rfam's summary of the family: 7SK was discovered as an abundant small nuclear RNA in the mid-70s but a possible function has only recently been suggested. Two independent studies have found that 7SK RNA binds the CDK9/cyclin T complex (known as elongation factor P-TEFb). Lineage: Eukaryota; Metazoa; Chordata; Mammalia; Rodentia; Sciuridae. The record is from RNAcentral.